GAGCCUACGGGAGGCAGCAGUGGGGAAUAUUGGACAAUGGGCGCAAGCCUGAUCCAGCAAUGCCGCGUGGGUGAAGACGGCCUGCGGGUUGUAAAGCCCUUUAGGCGGGGAAGAACGGCCGGGCGCAAAUAGCGCGCGGCUCUGACGUUACCCGCAGAAUAAGCACCGGCUAACUCCGUGCCAGCAGCCGCGGUAAUACGGAGGGUGCGAGCGUUAAUCGGAAUUACUGGGCGUAAAGCGUGCGUAGGCGGUUCGGUCAGUCAGCCGUGGAAGCCCCGGGCUCAACCUGGGAACGGCGGUUGAGACGGCCGGACUAGAGUGGGCUAGAGGAUCGUGGAAUUCCCGGUGUAGCGGUGAAAUGCGUAGAGAUCGGGAGGAACACCGAUGGCGAAGGCAGCGGUCUGGGGCCACACUGACGCUGAGGCACGAAAGCGUGGGGAGCAAACAGGAUUAGAUACCCCUGUAGUCGAC
RNAcentral lists this ribosomal RNA (471 nucleotides) under uncultured bacterium. RNAcentral describes it as "bacterial SSU rRNA". It matches the Rfam family "Bacterial small subunit ribosomal RNA", at positions 335 to 798 of the family's 1533-position model. The record is from RNAcentral.